Molecule: long non-coding RNA, 4055 nt
Organism: Bos grunniens (domestic yak)
Lineage: Eukaryota; Metazoa; Chordata; Mammalia; Artiodactyla; Bovidae
Source: Ensembl
CACACACCACGGUAAGUGGACACCCAGAGAGACCACGGAGGGGGCCGUGGCCAAGGCAGUGGGGCUUUGCUGGAUCCCCACUUCACUGUCCGCUCCGCACUGCGCGCGGACAGAGCCCACCCCCAGCCAGGGAAUUGCACACCAGCUUCCAGCCCUGGAAUUACCUAGCAAGGCGACUUGGAUAUUGCCACAAAGCUUCACACCCACCUAAACCAUGAGAGGGAAAUACAAGGAGCGUGGAGGUUGCGGAGUGGACGGGGAAGGGAGAAGAAGAAAGACACGCCGCAGGAAGGAACCGGAGGUCCCCGCAAGGCUCCGCACGUUCCUGGGUCGCCAAAUGUGCCCGAGAGCUGAGCCAGAACGUGCCGGCACAUAACCGAGUCACCCGGGCAGCCGCCGAUGUUCUGACUGCGUCCAUUGGCCGCCGCAACAAAGAGGGGCGGGGCCCGAGCGCGGGACUCUCACAACCCGGGGCUCCGCCGCGCUCUGAUUGGCUCCGGAGGCUCCUGGGCGGGAGCGAAGAGGAGGAGGGGGCCCCGGGCGGCCGCGCGAAAUGCGAUUGCCGUCUUGUCCUGGGACCCCCGCGGGGGCGGGAGCGUGGGUCCCUGGGACUUAGGACAGAGUUUCCCCAAGGGUCGUGGUACUGCGGGAGUUGCAACUGUGGGAAGCAGAGGAAAAGUAAAGCCACCCAAGAAGUGACCCUGAGAGUAAAGCCACCCAAGAAGUGACCCCGAGGUAGACGAGGGCUUGUGGUAAGACACAUUCCCUGAGGAACACUGGACACACUCACCUGCCGCUACCAAGCGGUGAUGGGUGGUUCAGGCAGGGCUGUUCACAUGAUGGAACAAUGCUAAUGUGUGUGUAUGUAUGUAUAUAUAUAUAUAUAUACACACACACACUUUUUUAACCCCACAUUACGAAUUACCCAAAACCCACUAGGUGACAGAGCCAUAGAUCCUCUGACAUUAUUGUUGUUCAGUCGCUCAAUCGUGUCCGACUCUUUGUGACCCUGUGGACUGCAGCACACCAGGCUUCACUGUCCAUCACCAACUCCAGGACUUUGCUCAAAUGCAUGUCCAUCGAGUGGGUGAUGCCAUCCAACUAUCUCAUCUUCUGUCGUCCCCUUCUCCUUUUGCCUCAGUCUUUCCCAGGAUCAGGAUCUUUUCCAACGAGUCGGCUUUUCGCAUCAGGUGAUCGAAGUAUUGGAGCUUCAGCUUCAGCAUCUUUCCUUGUGAGACAUUAGUCCAGAGAGACAAAUAAAGUCCCUUUACACCCAAGAUAAUAUGCGAAGGAGUGGUCAUCGAGGUUCACAUUGUUGUCACAGCUACUGAUUUAGGAGAGGAGGGAGAGAUGCUUCAGAGCCAGGGUGAAGUGGAGGCCCUCCCACACUCCCCAGGGAAAGACCUUUGUCUUAAAGACAUCUUCUUUUUAAAAAGAAGAGCAAGGUGAGAGGGGAAGAGCACCAGAGUCCUCACCUGAGGGCUAGCCCUAAGGCCAGGUUUAUCAGUUGGCUAAGCUGUGUGACCCAGGACAAGCCAUUGCCUGUUUUGUGCCUCGGCCUCUAUCUGAGAAGAGCAGAUCGCUCACUCUCCAAGGUCUGUUCUGGCUCUAAGAUUCUGUGAUCCUCUGACUUCCUCGCUUAUGGAGACUUCAGAACUUGGCUGUAAAGCCUUUCUCUUUAAACUCCAGGCCAGCCUGCCAGCUUUGAGGAGUUAAAGCAGCUGUGACAGCAAUGCUAGGUUAACCUCAAAUUAAAAAUGCAGUCAUCUGCAGACAUAGAGAAUAGACUUAUUGCCGGGGCGGGGGAAUGGAGAGAGUAGCAUGGAAACAUAUACACUGCUGUAUGUAAAAUAGAUAGGCAGUGGGAAUUUACUCUACGACUUGGGGAACUCAAACCUGGGCUCUGUGACAACCUAGAGGGCUGGGAUGGGGUGGGAGGUGGGAGGUGGGAGGGAGAUUCAAGAGAGAAGGGACAUGUAUACUUAUGGCUGAUUCAUGUUGACAUAAGGCCGAAUCCAACACAACACUGUAAAACAAUUAUCCUUCAAUUAAAACAGAUAAUUUUUUUUUAAUGAAGAGGAAAAAGAAGCAAUCAUCUAAAACCACUGAUGACAGAUCUGUUUCUGGAUGCUACGGGUUAGUCGCUCCUGUGGAACUGGAACUCCGCUUUCAGAGAACGGUGUGCUGAGGGGUGGGUGCUGGAGUGUAGCUCCUGGCUCAGAAGAAAGGUGAGGUAGAGACCUGGAUUCCUAACCAGUCCUGCAGCAUCACCGACAGAGCCCAGGCCCUGGACUUUAUAGAUUCCACAGUGAGAGUAACUCAGGUCCAGAUAGAGGAAAUGGACCUAAUAAUAACAUUCAGGAAAUUAUCUGAGUAAUUCAAGUACAAGCACACCUGGAAAAAAUAGGGAAUGGAAAGAGAGUUAUCCUCUCAAUACAUAAUUGCCUUGGUUUUCAUUUCCUGAUUAGGAGAAAACAUGCCUCAGAGGAAUGAGCUGUAUUCUCACCUCAAACAGCCUUCCUCCCUUUUCUCACUCUCUUUCAGAUCCGUCUCUUUCUCCUCGCUUCCCCUGGGGUUUCAAGUCCAGGAGACUAGGGUUUCAAGAUGCAGAUCUGUAUGCAGAGUAGAGAAUAUGGCCUCACAAGCCCUCAGGAGAAAAGGGAGCUUCCUAAGCUCAAGUGAUCAGACCCGUUAGUGAACAUCACAGAGUGUCUGGCAAGUGUCCUUGGCAUCAAUCUCCAGUGUCCCCACUCAGGCCAAAUUCAAACAACUACAAGGUCCAUGUCAACCCAGGGCCUGGAUCCUGCUUCACCCGGAUCAAGAUCCUAGGGACCAGAGAGGGUCAUCGAUCAUCUUCCUGGCCUAGGCACCUCAGGACUCCCCCACAGUUGAAGGAAACGCUUUUGUUUUUCAUCUCCAGUAUUCCUACUAUCCAUCCUCCAUCCCAGGGGAUGGGUGCAGUGGGGAGUCAAGUGAAACGGUCUAAGAAGACAGCUAUGAGAUUUGGUUAAUUUUCCAAAGAGGUGGUAAGACAGCUUCUGAUGUGAGCUGCGCUGUCCCGCUGAAAGGACUGGAGGUCAGAAGGGCCCUUUUGUUCAGAAUCCUUUUGCAUCUGAGAACUGUACUCAUUGUGUGGACCAGCCGACUCUGUUCUCCAUUUCUUUGUGUAUUUCGUGUUAUAUAACACUCAAGUGAACCCAGGCCAGACAGAUUAUGGGUUUUAGGGGGUUUUUUUUGUUUGUUUGUUUUUAAUUUUUUAAUUGAAGUAUAGUUGAUUUACAAUGUUGUGUUAGUUUCAGGUGUACAGAAAAGUGAUUAAGCUAUAUAUAUAUAUUCUUUUAUAUAUAAUAUACUUUUAUUUAUAAUAUAUGUAUUUUUCAGAUUCUUUUGCCAUAUAGGUUGUUACAAAAUACUGAGUAUAGUUCCUUAUGCUAUACAGUAGGUCCUUGUUGGUUAUCUCUUUUAUAUAUAGUACUCUGCUGUGUUUAGUCACUCAGUCAUGUCUGACUCUUUGCAACACUGUGGACUAUAGCCCACCAGCCUCCUCUGUCCAUGGAAUUUUACAGGUAAGAAUAUUGGAGUGGGUUGCCAUGCCCUCCUCCAGGGGAUCUUCCCAACCUAGGGAUUGAACCCAGGUCUCCUGCAUUGCAGGAGGAUUCUUUACUGUCUGAACCAUCAAGGAAACCUAAGAAUACUGGACUGGGUAGCCUAUCCCUGCUCCAGAGGAUCUUCCUGACCCAGGAAUCAAACCAGGGUCUCCUGCAUUGCAGGCGGAUUCUUUACUAGCUGAGCUACCAGGGAAGCCCAUGUAUAGUACCGUAUAUAUGUUAAUCCCAAACGGCUAAUUUAUCGCCUCCUUUCCUCCUUUGGCAGCCAGGGCUCAGGUGGUUAGUAAGAGUGACAUAGCCACAUAUGCACACAGUGGGGCAAGGCCAACUUGACACAUGAUGACCAGCUGCUCAACCUCUGAGAGCAUAGUCCUAUUUGUUCACCAGCAUAACAACUGGCAUAGCAGAGACAUGUAGUAGUUUUAAUUUAUGGUUUGGAACCAUAAA